This 411-nucleotide ribosomal RNA is filed under the name uncultured archaeon. RNAcentral's name for it is "bacterial SSU rRNA". It matches the Rfam family "Archaeal small subunit ribosomal RNA", at positions 322 to 735 of the family's 1478-position model. The record is from RNAcentral.
CCUACGGGUUGCAGCAGGCGCGAAACUUCCGCAAUGCUCGACAGAGUGACGGAGGGAUUCCAAGUGCCUAUGCUAUGCGUAGGCUGUUUUUAUGUCUAAAUAACAUGGAGAGUAAGAGCUGGGUAAGACGGGUGCCAGCCGCCGCGGUAAUACCUGCAGCUCGAGUGGUAACCGCUAUUAUUGGGCCUAAAGCGUCCGUAGCCGGUUUGGUAAAUAUCUGGGUAAAUCGUGAGGCUUAACUUCACGAAUUUCGGAUAGACUGCCAGACUUGGGAUCGGGGGAGGUCAGAGGUACUCCAGGGGUAGCGGUGAAAUGUUGUAAUCCUUGGAGGACCACCGGUAGCGAAGGCGUCUGACUAGAACGAGUCCGACGGUGAGGGACGAAGCCCUGGGGCGCAAACCGGAUUAGAUA